CCAAUGGCGUAUAUUAAAGUUGUUGCAGUUAAAAAGCUCGUAGUUGAAUUUCGGGAUUGACACAUCGGUCGUGCCUUAAGGGGUAUGAACUGGUGUAGUCAAUUUCUCACCUUCUGGAGAACCGCGAUGCCCUUAAUUGGGUGUCGCGGGGAACCAGGACCUUUACUUUGAAAAAAUUAGAGUGUUUAAAGCAGGCAUUUUGCUUGAAUACAUUAGCAUGGAAUAAUAAAAUAGGACGGCAUGAUUCUAUUUUGUUGGUUUCUAGGAUCACCGUAAUGAUUAAUAGGGAUAGUUGGGGGCAUUAGUAUUCAAUUGUCAGAGGUGAAAUUCUUGGAUUUAUUGAAGACUAACUACUGCGAAAGCAUUUGCCAAGGAUGUUUUCAUUAAUCAAGAACGAAAGUUAGGGGAUCGAAGACGAUCAGAUACCGUCGUAGUCUUAACCAUAAACUAUGCCGACUAGGAAUCAGACGAUGUUAAUUUUUUAAUGACUCGUUUGGCACCUUACG
Molecule: ribosomal RNA, 506 nt
Filed under: uncultured Glomeromycotina
Lineage: Eukaryota; Fungi; Glomeromycota
Description: partial small subunit ribosomal RNA
Rfam family: Eukaryotic small subunit ribosomal RNA
Source: RNAcentral